AUCAGGCCUAACACAUGCAAGUCGAACGCCCUUUUCGGAGGGAGUGGCAGACGGGUGAGUAACGCGUGGGAAUCUACCCAGCUCUACGGAACAACUCGAGGAAACUUGAGCUAAUACCGUAUACGCCCUUUUGGGGAAAGAUUUAUCGGAGUUGGAUGAGCCCGCGUUUGAUUAGCUAGUUGGUGGGGUAAAGGCCUACCAAGGCGACGAUCAAUAGCUGGUCUGAGAGGAUGAUCAGCCACAUUGGGACUGAGACACGGCCCAAACUCCUACGGGAGGCAGCAGUGGGGAAUAUUGGACAAUGGGCGCAAGCCUGAUCCAGCCAUGCCGCGUGAGUGAUGAAGGCCCUAGGGUUGUAAAGCUCUUUCAACGGUGAAGAUAAUGACGGUAACCGUAGAAGAAGCCCCGGCUAACUUCGUGCCAGCAGCCGCGGUAAUACGAAGGGGGCUAGCGUUGUUCGGAUUUACUGGGCGUAAAGCGCACGUAGGCGGAUCGUUAAGUGAGGGGUGAAAUCCCAGGGCUCAACCCUGGAACUGCCUUUCAUACUGGCGAUCUGGAGUUCGAGAGAGGUGAGUGGAAUUCCGAGUGUAGAGGUGAAAUUCGUAGAUAUUCGGAGGAACACCAGUGGCGAAGGCGGCUCACUGGCUCGA
Molecule: ribosomal RNA, 650 nt
Filed under: uncultured bacterium
Lineage: Bacteria
Description: bacterial SSU rRNA
Rfam family: Bacterial small subunit ribosomal RNA
Source: RNAcentral